UCGGGAAUUUUGGGCAAUGGGCGAAAGCCUGACCCAGCAACGCCGCGUGAGGGAUGAAGUAUUUCGGUAUGUAAACCUCGAAAGAAUGGGAAGAAUAAAUGACGGUACCAUUUAUAAGCUCCGGCUAACUACGUGCCAGCAGCCGCGGUAAUACGUAGGGAGCAAGCGUUGUUCGGAUUUACUGGGCGUAAAGGGCGCGUAGGCGGCGCGGUAAGUCACUUGUGAAAUCUCUGAGCUUAACUCAGAACGGCCAAGUGAUACUGCUGUGCUAGAGUGCGGAAGAGGCAACCGGAAUUCUGGGUGUAGCGGUGAAAUGCGUAGAUAUCAAGAGGAACACCUGAGGCGAAGGCGGGUUGCUGGGCCGACACUGACGCUGAUGCGCGAAAGCCAGGGGAGCAA
Molecule: ribosomal RNA, 399 nt
Filed under: uncultured bacterium
Lineage: Bacteria
Description: bacterial SSU rRNA
Rfam family: Bacterial small subunit ribosomal RNA
Source: RNAcentral